CAUGUUGCGGCGCUUGGGGCGGGCGGCGGUGCGCGCCGCGCUCAGCGCCUCAGCGCCUCCACAGCAGCGCCCGGCGCCGCGCCACGCGUGCACCGCACCGCCGGACAGCGUGGGGCGGCUGCAGCCGUCGCAUUACCGCCUGGUGUACACCUGCAAGGUGUUGCACAUCAGCAGCUGAUUGCAGUGCUCUUGGAGGUGCAUGGCAUGGCAGCUGAGCAGAAGAGGCAAUUGGGACCACCUGAGGACAUGGCCCUGACCACAGGGGAGGCGGAUCUUUCUGGGAAGAAAGGAAAAAGCCUGCUGGAGCUGCGUUAUGAUGAGCACCAGUGAUGCCCAAGCCUGGAACAGCAGAGCAUGGUACAAGCUAGGUGGGUAUAUACGUGGCUGUGCACAUCCUCCUGCCUGAUCUCCAGCUCUCUACCUGGCCCAGGAAGGAGGCAGAGGUUCAGCUCAGCCUUCUGUGCAGCAGGAAACACAUCUGCUUCAGCAGAACUCAUUACUGGAGUUUCUGAAGUCCAGGACAGCCUCUCUGGUCAAGCAUUCCGCCUCCUGAAGUUUGAUCUCUGCUGUCCUCCUCUCUGGAAAAAACAAAACUGGUGAAGAUGUUCCAGGAAAUGAUCCAGAACAAUUUGUGUCAUCUCAUGACGCAGAUGUGACUGCAAAAAUGUCCCUUUCCCUAUUAAAAGUAUUUUAGAAAUAAAGAAGAUCGAGGCUGCAUUUAACUACCUGCUCUAGGCUCCUCCUUCAGCUGACAGUGUGAGUUCCUGGAGUUUUAGGUGACAAGCAAAAGGACUGCCAAGGUCUUCUUCCCUUGAGCUGUGCCCAUUGUUACAGAGGCUGCAUCUCCUAAAAAACCCUUGUUUAAAAGCCAUCCCCUCCUCUGAACACCAGGUGCAGUGCAGUUGAGGUGCAGAUCCUGGGAGAAGUCUGGUGGUGCAGGAGCACUCUGUUUGAAACCACCUACACUUAAGUUCUUUUUGAAAAAACAAAUGAAACCAAAACAAACCCCCCAAAUCAACCCCGGUUCUUAGCUGGAACCAGGCCUUUGCUGCUCCUCUUCUGCCUCCUCUUGUGCUGAGGCCAGGUCUACCCUCUGCUCAUCCAUGCGUUUGGCCUGGACCCGCUGGAUGAGGCUGAAGAAAUCCUCAUCUGGCAUGGUGGGACCACGGGGGAUGGAGUCUGGUGGUGCACAGCGCUGGUCGUCUAUCCUGGAGGACUACAGGGGAAGAGCAGGGGUUAGGGCUGCGUGCUGACAGCCUGCAGGUGGGCAGCUGCUGCCCACAGCCCACAGCCAGCCUGGUGAGAGCAAGGGGGCAUUGCUUGCUGAUGGCGGAGAAAGUAGCCUAUCCCUCCCUCCUGCUCAGCCCUGCUGUACCUGACACUUCAUCAGCAUGUUGAAGAACUCAUCCCCAGGCUCCUGGGCGUCCCCCUCCAUGCACAGGUGCCCCAGGUUGUUGUGUGUUAUCCGCAGGCCUGGCAGGUUGCCCACAUUGGCACGCUGGUCAUCCAGCCGUCUGCUCUGCGAGCUGGCGAUGAGAUCGAAGAACUCCUCCGUCUGUGGGGAUGCCAUCAGGGAGGAGUGUGCUGGGAGGGGGGAGAGGAGCACACCAGGGUCACAUCUCUGCUCACCACAGAGUCUUCUCAAGUUCUCACCAACAGACUUAAGCCCCUGUUUGAGAAGCCUCCCAGGGCUGAGCUGGGUAGGACCCCAGCUUCUGUGACCAGCACCAUUCCCUUCCACCCUGUGCAAUAAGCAGGAACAAUCCCAGUGCCAACAACGCAAGCAAGCAAAAACCUACCACCAAAGCAGAGACCCAAGCAUGCAACCACUCACACCCUUCUCUAGUGCCUCUGCUGCAUUGCCUAGUAUGUAGGGUAAGGCAGAGACCUUGGCAGGAUGCUGCUGCUGCCUUGGUUUCCACCCUGGUGCAGGCAGCAGCAGUUGCAGGUGAGUGUACAGUUCCUGUGCACUGCUGUGGUUCCUUACUGGACACUGCACAUGGUGCCAAGGGCUGGGUAUAAUUGCAGGCAUGUAAUGUGCAAAGCCAAGGCCUGACUAAGCCACCCAUCCCAGCAAUGCCCCAGCCAGGGCAGCACGCAAUGCAUGGGGCCUCCUGGCUCCUAGCAGCUGCUGGGCAGCAAAACAUUCACACAACAAGCACUGCACUUGGGAUGGGGACAAGCAAGGGGAGCUGUAAGAAAUCCAGCCUGGUGGGCAUCGCCUCAGGGAGCACAAAGCACAUGAGGGUCCCCCAAGAUCCUGACACUGCUGCUCUGACAGCCCCAGCUCCUGGAGUUGUAGGAAUGCACAGUAACUGCAGCACUGACAAAGAAACUUCAAACAACGCGUCCAAAAAGCUCAGAGACCAAGUGAUGGAUGAACAGAAAGCAUGCCUACUUGAACGCUCUUAAUAAAGCUCCAUACUCAAACUCACCCUUAAGUCACACAGCUGUUACAGCCAAAUGCAUUUCUACAUCAGAAACACAUCUUGAAAAAGCGAUGUUCAUUUCCACCUUAUUUUUAGCCCAGAAGAAAUGGCUCACCUGGGAGCACACAGCAGGACCUGCACACCCCAGCACUUCGCUCCUGUUUGCUUUAAUCAGAGCACCUCAACACGCUGUCAUCAAAACAGACGCAAACCCGAAGCGCAGACACAGCCCUGGCCUGCCUUCCCCAUCCCAUCUAUUUGUCAGAUGGUUUCCUCCAUUUAUCCCUGUUCUUCCCACAAGCAAAGCUUGCUGUCUGCACACCCGGAGCUUCCUCUUGUUUAUCCAUCCGCCCUGCUGCCUUCUCUGUCCUUACGCAACACCUAUCACUGCAGCAUCCAACAACUGGACAAAACCCAGAAGUUUUUCCACUGUGGUCACACAGAACGCCCAGCAGUACCUUCCCCUCCUGCCAGAGCCCACCCGGGCCAUUGCACAGCAGCACCACGCAGCCGGCCAUGCCGUGGGAGCAGCACGACCCGGAGUCACAGCGACUUAUCAACACCUCCACGCUUACGUAUCCGUUCUUCCAGGGCUGGGACUGGUGUGGCUGCUGCCUCCGCAGCCUCCGACGGGCACUCCUCCAGCGGGCAGCGCUGAUCGUCCAUCCGGUUGCUCUGGAACUUGCUCAGCAGGUCAAAGAAGCAUUCCUCAUCCGAAGGGGUCCGGUUGAUCUUCUGCAAAGACAAUAAAACACAAAAGAGUCAGCACGUCCCAACCGCCUCUCACCGCGUGGCCUCGGCAAUGCUCCCACCCUGCCCUGCCCAGAGCUGGGCUCCACGCACUGCACCUGCCCAGACUCACUGCCUCUGAGUCUCAGUGCUCCUGGCUCAGAAACGGCCUCUCCUUUCCCUCUUUCCUCACUACCCUUUGGUUUGGACAAUCCAAGGGGUGGGAGAACCCAGCGGGUGCCCCUAUGGGGUGCUGCCACGUGCCAGGCUCAGGCACGCUGCCCAUCCCUCCUUCCCGAGCUGCUAAAGGUACCCUCUGCAGACCACAGCCCCCAGCUUCCUUCCGACUCACCAUAGCACCCUGCUUGCUCCAGUCCUCACCAAGCUGCAAAUGCCACAGAAUUACAGUUCUUCAGGAAAACAGUUCUUGCAUGAGAGCCCCAAAUAAGCACCUUGCACCAGACAGCGAUAUAUUUAAGCUGUGCUGCUGAAGGGUUAGCACUCACAGCAGCCUCUAAUUCAUGUGCCGUGCCGGAGAUGGGGUGGGUGCUGUGUCGGGAGGGUGAGCCCAGGUCCUGUGCUCACUGCUGCACAGCAGAGCUCUCUGCAGGGCCUCUGGUGAGGGUGUGCAGUGCUGCUCCCAGCACAGGGCUGCUCCCAGGGCACCGGCACGCAGAGUGCUUCCAGGGAGCCCUGUGCUGGGGGAGAGCUGUGUGCUGACAGGGUUAAAGCUGCCACACAGAGUCAGUAAACGUAGGAAAACAAUUUUCCCCGUAUGCUAAGCGAAGCAGAUGAGAUGCACUCAGCUUCUAUUUAGGGCAGUGUCAAAAUUAGCAGCGGGCCAGAGAGGAACAUUGGCAAUGUGGGAGCAGAGAGGGGAGGGAGAAUCCCUUCUCACCUCCUCCCAGGUGCUGACCAAUGGAUCAGCAGCACAGACAGACCCUCCGGACCAUCAGCCUCUGAAACCACAACCUGAAUGAGCUUCAGCCAAGGAUGAACAGCAUCUAUCCCAG
This 4171-nucleotide long non-coding RNA is filed under the name Gallus gallus (chicken). Lineage: Eukaryota; Metazoa; Chordata; Aves; Galliformes; Phasianidae. The record is from RNAcentral.